CGGGGUUACAACGACCACCCCGUCAGGCGCAUGCCCAAGUGUCGG
Molecule: non-coding RNA, 45 nt
Filed under: unclassified sequences
Source: RNAcentral